AGUAAAAGUCGUAACAAGGUCUCCGUUGGUGAACCAGCGGAGGGAUCAUUACAGAGUUAUCCAACUCCCAAACCCAUGUGAACUUAUCUCUUUGUUGCCUCGGCGCAAGCUACCCGGGACCUCGCGCCCCGGGGGGCCCGCCGGCGGACAAACCAAACUCUGUUAUCUUCGUUGAUUAUCUGAGUGUCUUAUUUAAUAAGUCAAAACUUUCAACAACGGAUCUCUUGGUUCUGGCAUCGAUGAAGAACGCAGCGAAAUGCGAUAAGUAAUGUGAAUUGCAGAAUUCAGUGAAUCAUCGAAUCUUUGAACGCACAUUGCGCUCAUUAGUAUUCUAGUGGGCAUGCCUGUUCGAGCGUCAUUUCAACCCCUAAGCACAGCUUAUUGUUGGGCGUCUACGUCUGUAGUGCCUCAAAGACAUUGGCGGAGCGGCAGCAGUCCUCUGAGCGUAGUAAUUCUUUAUCUCGCUUUUGUUAGGCGCUGCCCCCCCGGCCGUAAAACCCCCCAUUUUUUCUGGUUGACCUCGGAUCAGGUAGGAAUACCUGCUGAACUUAAGCAUAUCAAUAAGCGGAGGA
Molecule: ribosomal RNA, 572 nt
Filed under: uncultured fungus
Lineage: Eukaryota; Fungi
Description: eukaryotic LSU rRNA
Rfam family: 5.8S ribosomal RNA (bases 205-358)
Source: RNAcentral